Molecule: ribosomal RNA, 1437 nt
Filed under: uncultured organism
Description: SSU rRNA
Rfam family: Bacterial small subunit ribosomal RNA
Source: RNAcentral
UGCUACAGGCUUAACACAUGCAAGUCGAGGGGCAGCAUGGUCUUAGCUUGCUAAGGCCGAUGGCGACCGGCGCACGGGUGAGUAACACGUAUCCAACCUGCCGUCUACUCUUGGACAGCCUUCUGAAAGGAAGAUUAAUACAAGAUGGCAUCAUGAGUCCGCAUGUUCACAUGAUUAAAGGUAUUCCGGUAGACGAUGGGGAUGCGUUCCAUUAAAUAGUAGGCGGGGUAACGGCCCACCUAGUCUUCGAUGGAUAGGGGUUCUGAGAGGAAGGUCCCCCACAUUGGAACUGAGACACGGUCCAAACUCCUACGGGAGGCAGCAGUGAGGAAUAUUGGUCAAUGGGCGAGAGCCUGAACCAGCCAAGUAGCGUGAAGGAUGACUGCCCUAUGGGUUGUAAACUUCUUUUAUAAAGGAAUAAAGUCGGGUAUGGAUACCCGUUUGCAUGUACUUUAUGAAUAAGGAUCGGCUAACUCCGUGCCAGCAGCCGCGGUAAUACGGAGGAUCCGAGCGUUAUCCGGAUUUAUUGGGUUUAAAGGGAGCGUAGAUGGAUGUUUAAGUCAGUUGUGAAAGUUUGCGGCUCAACCGUAAAAUUGCAGUUGAUACUGGAUAUCUUGAGUGCAGUUGAGGCAGGCGGAAUUCGUGGUGUAGCGGUGAAAUGCUUAGAUAUCACGAAGAACUCCGAUUGCGAAGGCAGCCUGCUAAGCUGCAACUGACAUUGAGGCUCGAAAGUGUGGGUAUCAAACAGGAUUAGAUACCCUGGUAGUCCACACGGUAAACGAUGAAUACUCGCUGUUUGCGAUAUACUGCAAGCGGCCAAGCGAAAGCGUUAAGUAUUCCACCUGGGGAGUACGCCGGCAACGGUGAAACUCAAAGGAAUUGACGGGGGCCCGCACAAGCGGAGGAACAUGUGGUUUAAUUCGAUGAUACGCGAGGAACCUUACCCGGGCUUAAAUUGCAGAUGAAUUACGGUGAAAGCCGUAAGCCGCAAGGCAUCUGUGAAGGUGCUGCAUGGUUGUCGUCAGCUCGUGCCGUGAGGUGUCGGCUUAAGUGCCAUAACGAGCGCAACCCUUGUUGUCAGUUACUAACAGGUUCCGCUGAGGACUCUGACAAGACUGCCAUCGUAAGAUGUGAGGAAGGUGGGGAUGACGUCAAAUCAGCACGGCCCUUACGUCCGGGGCUACACACGUGUUACAAUGGGGGGUACAGAGGGCCGCUACCACGCGAGUGGAUGCCAAUCCCCAAAACCUCUCUCAGUUCGGACUGGAGUCUGCAACCCGACUCCACGAAGCUGGAUUCGCUAGUAAUCGCGCAUCAGCCACGGCGCGGUGAAUACGUUCCCGGGCCUUGUACACACCGCCCGUCAAGCCAUGGGAGCCGGGGGUACCUGAAGUGCGUAACCGCGAGGAGCGCCCUAGGGUAAAACUGGUGACUGGG